Molecule: ribosomal RNA, 480 nt
Filed under: uncultured bacterium
Lineage: Bacteria
Description: partial 16S ribosomal RNA
Rfam family: Bacterial small subunit ribosomal RNA
Source: RNAcentral
GACGAACGCUGGCGGCGUGCUUAACACAUGCAAGUCGAACGAUGAAGAAAAGAAUUGAAGCUUCGGCAGAAAUUCAUUUCGGAUUAGUGGCAGACGGGUGAGUAACGCGUGAGCAACCUACCUCUUACAAAGGGAUAGCCUCGGGAAACCGGGAUUAAUACCAUAUAACAUUGCGACGAAGCAUUUCGAUGCAAUCAAAGCUACGGCGGUAAGAGAUGGGCUCGCGUCCGAUUAACCAGAUGGUGAGGUAACGGCUCACCAUAGUAACGAUGGGUAACCGGCGUGGGAGGGUGAACGGUCACACUGGAACUGAGGCACGGUCCAGACUCCUACGGGAGGCAGCAGUGGGGAAUAUUGCACAAUGGAGGGAACUCUGAUGCAGCGACGCCGCGUGAGUGAUGAAGGAAUUCGUUUCGUAAAACUCUGUUCUAUGGGAAGAAAAGGACGGUACCAGAGGAGAAAGCACCGGCUAAAUACGUG